GCGUUGAAAAGCUCGGGGAUGACUUGUGGGUAGCGGUGAAAUUCCAAUCGAGCCCGGAGAUAGCUGGUUCUCCCCGAAAUAGCUUUAGGGCUAGCCUCAAGGUGAGAGAUACGGAGGUAGAGCACUGAAUGUCCUAGGGGGUAUUGCACCUACCGAAGACUAUCAAACUCCGAAUGCCGUCAUCUUAUACUUGGGAGUCAGACUGUGGGUGAUAAGAUUCAUAGUCGAAAGGGCAACAGCCCAGAUCGUCAGCUAAGGUCCCUAAAUGUAAGUUAAGUGGUAAAGGAUGUGGGAUUGCACAGACAACCAGGAUGUUGGCUUAGAAGCAGCCACUCAUUCAAAGAGUGCGUAAUAGCUCACUGGUCGAGUGAUCCUGCGCCGAAGAUUUCCGGGGCUAAAACUUACUACCGAAGCUACGGCAUCAGUAAUGAUGGGUAGGGGAGCUUCCCAUACGGGUUGAAGCAUGACCGUAAGGACAUGUGGACAGUAUGGGAGUGAGAAUGUUGGCAUGAGUAGCGAGAUGUGGGUGAGAAUCCCACAGGCCGUAAACCCAAGGUUUCCAGG
This 564-nucleotide ribosomal RNA is filed under the name Clostridioides difficile. RNAcentral's name for it is "partial 23S ribosomal RNA". It matches the Rfam family "Bacterial large subunit ribosomal RNA", at positions 786 to 1358 of the family's 2925-position model. Lineage: Bacteria; Bacillati; Bacillota; Clostridia; Peptostreptococcales; Peptostreptococcaceae. The record is from RNAcentral.